GUGCUCGCUUCGGCAGCACAUAUACUAAAAUUGGAACGAUACAGAGAAGAUUAGCAUGAACUCCUGCA
Molecule: small nuclear RNA, 68 nt
Filed under: Cervus hanglu yarkandensis (Yarkand deer)
Lineage: Eukaryota; Metazoa; Chordata; Mammalia; Artiodactyla; Cervidae
Source: RNAcentral